GACAUGUCCGGUCUACAUGGCAACAUGUGUGAAACACCAUGACCUGGUAUUGGAGCUCCAGCUGGUAAAUUGUUGGGCUGAAAGCCCAUAUUAUUACCAGGUGGCCUUUCAAGGGGCGGCCGAAAGUAACCUUCCUGCCCAAAAGAAGGGGCUGCAUGUGAAGGAUUUCUUCCACUCAUCCAUGUGCCUUGCUGAUUAUCUGUGCUAAAUUCACUUGUCGGCAUCCUCCAAAGUUCAUCACCAACAAAUCGCCUUCGUCCAUCAGGAUAAGAAUGGAUAGUGUAUGGACGAGGAAAUGAAUGCUGAGGAUGUUGCUGAAUAGCAGGCUUUGCAAAAGAAAAUUGACCAGACGCAGUUUGUGGCAAGGUUGGAUGUAAAGGUCUUUGUGCAAAAGGAGCAUUUCCUGUUUGAAAAUGUUGAGAUGCUUGGGAAUUUAAAUACAGGUCAUUAUGUCCAUAAUCCAAUUGCCUUGAAGGAUUAUAUCCUGAAGGUUCUCUAGAACUGCAGACUGCCGUAGGUGUGAAGCAAGGUGACUGCUGUGGAAACAAUUCACUUUUUAUGCCAGCAUCCAUAUGAUUCACAUGAAUAUUUCCAGCCAUUUUAGCAAGUUGAUUACCACCAGAUGUACUGCAAUAUUCAUGAGUUACAGCUGGUGGAUAUGCCAACUGUGGUGAGGACUGUAAUGAAGACACAGAAGGUAGAAUUGGUUGAGUCGCCAAGGAAGGUUGAGUUGGUGCUAACUGUUGAGGUACCAAUGACUGUGGAUGGCCUGAAGCUGGUACAAGAGGAGGAGGUGGCUGUGAUGGAACAGGUGGUGGAGGUGGAGGUGGAGGUGGAGGUGGAGGUUGUGAAGGAGAUGUAGGGGGUGGUGGUGGUGGUGGUGGUGGUGGUGGUGAGGGAGGUAAAGGUGGGGUUGAGGGAGGAGAAUCAGGAGGCAAUGGAGGAGAACUUUCCGGCAGAGGAGGCAGCUCAACAGAUUUGGCGACUACUGGCUCCAGAACUCCAUCUGAGCAAUGCUGCGGGGCAUCCACUUCUAAAGAAUUUGUGAACAACGGUCUUUCAUCCUUUUGGUGUCCAGACACAUCUUCCAUUUCAAGUUCACCAUCCACUUCCUCUAAGAUGCAAUGACGCCUGUCAUUUGGAGUCAUAGUACAUGUUUCUGACUCUCCUAAAGUACGGGUGGGUUCUGCUAGUGAUGACACAUCGCCACCUUCCUUCAAUGAACUGCCAGGAAGAUCAUCUUCCUCAUCUUCAUCUUCAAAUGCAUUAGAACAUACAAAGCCAGGCAACUGAAAUGUAGCAUUGCUGCCAUAUUCAUCUACAAGCAUGCCUUCCAUUUCUCUGAUGGGAUCAUCUACAGCUCGUUCAGCUCGAGAUGGGCGUCUAAGGGAAAAUCCAGCAGAGGAAUCAUCAUUUGAAACUCCAAUAUCAUCCAUAUAAUGCCUCAAAACGGAAUCAGGAAAAAUUUUC
RNAcentral lists this unclassified non-coding RNA (1470 nucleotides) under Hevea brasiliensis (rubber tree). The record is from RNAcentral. Lineage: Eukaryota; Viridiplantae; Streptophyta; Magnoliopsida; Malpighiales; Euphorbiaceae.